Molecule: ribosomal RNA, 493 nt
Filed under: uncultured bacterium
Lineage: Bacteria
Description: partial 16S ribosomal RNA
Rfam family: Bacterial small subunit ribosomal RNA
Source: RNAcentral
GACGAACGCUGGCGGCGUGCCUAACACAUGCAAGUUGAGCGACGAACCAGGGCUUGCCCUGGGGCAAAGCAGCGAACGGGUGAGUAACACGUGGGUAACCUACCCCGAUAACCAGGACAACCCGAGGAAACUCGGGCUAAUACCGGAUGUGCUCACUGGACUUCGGUUCAGUGCGUAAAGGAAGCUUCGGCCUCCGUAUCGGGAGGGGCCCGCGGCCCAUUAGUUUGUUGGUGAGGUAACGGCUCACCAAGACCGCGAUGGGUAGCUGGUCUGAGAGGACGAUCAGCCACACUGGGACUGAGACACGGCCCAGACUCCUACGGGAGGCAGCAGUGGGGAAUCUUGCGCAAUGCGCGAAAGCGUGACGCAGCAACGCCGCGUGGGGGAAGAAGGCCUUCGGGUUGUAAACCCCUUUCAGGAGGGACGAAGGUUCGGCGGUGAAUAGCCGUCCGGACUGACGGUACCUCCACAAGAAGCCCCGGCUAACUACGUG